GAUCCUUUUAAUAAAGAGCUGAACAUUAAUAAAGGCAUGGACCCUGUUCAUUACAGAGAUUUAAAUACUGUACAAACUGGAUAGAAUUACAGCUACUCUUAUUUUUCAGUUUCUAAAUCUUGAAGCCAUAACAUUUUCUCCUCCUGUGUUUAAUCUAGAGUGUUAGUAAUAAACCACCUUGUCUGCAUGCAAAGAGAUUGCCACCGAGAGGAACAAAGUGCUGCUGAUGACAGAGGUAAAUCUUGUUAUUCUGAAAAUUAUUCCUCAGGCAGCUUCUUGUAACUUCGUUUUCCAGAUGAUUCCUGACGAAUCAGUGGCAGCAAUUCGGAGAGGAAACAGUUGCUCAGGGUUCUGCUGUGGUGACACUGGUAUGUGCCUGGGAGCUGGCUGGGGACAUCCACGAGCCGAUCCAUAGGUCUCAUUCCAUACAUCCCCUGAGCAGUACUUAUGGAGAGCCCUUAGAUGGUGCUGUAUGGCAGCGCUCGUCCCGCCCGCACCACCGCUGCCUUAGGGGAUGCCUGUGCCCCACCUCAGGGCUCACAUUUGGCCACAGUUCAGUCCAAAGAAGGUGAAAAAGCAGUCUCUGGGCACUGUUAUUUAGGAUGAGUAAGUGAAAUCUGUCAAUAGACAUAUUAAAUAUUAAAUUCAAACAUGGAUUUCAAUAGCUGCUGUAAUUUAAUCCUUAUAAACUUGAAUCGUCAUGCUUAAACUUCCAUGGCAAAUGUAUUGCUCUCUGUAAAACAAAGGGCUUUUAAAUAUUAGUUAAGGAGUUUUUAAAGGGCAUUUGAGGAUCAUCCUGAUGGAAGAAUAGUGCUCACCCUGGGAACUUCCUCAUGUAAAUAUGGGUGUGGUGGUGUGGCUUUCAGGUUAAAUCUUCCAGGCUGUGAAACUCUUCAUUUCUAAAGAAGUAGGGAUGCAGAUGUAGGAAUUUGAGUUGUGAUGUCAAUUUCAAUGGAAUUGAAAUGUUAUUUCCUCUAUCAGGAUGGGUUUCAAGCCACAAAGUAAAUUUUAUUUGGAAACUGUUAGUUAAAUUAUUGGAGGGUUAUUAGACAACUCUCAAAUACUGAUGGUAUCUUUUGUAACAACACAGGAGAGAAGUGAGGUGUUGAAAACAAAUAGAUCUCUGCCCCUUGGAAAAGAAUUAUGUGACUGUUUGGGUUUUUUUUCUAAGUUGGGAAUGUAGCCUUCCUAUAGUUUCACUGCGUGCUUAUGCACAUUCCUGUAUUUUGUUAGUGUUUUCCACCUGUUCGUGCAGCUUGAGGGGGUUAAGCCUGAGAAUAUUCUGCCAAAGCAAAUGAAAUAUGAAAUAGUUCAUGUUUUCAGAAUGACUUCAUUUAGUCAUGACUUUUAUUUAUUUAAAGUGAGAGAGAAAGAGCUCAUGUUGUUACAGUCUCCGCUCUCUCUGCUCUAUUUUUUCAAUCUCUGGAACUUCCCAUAACCCAGCUUUUCUUUUUUGACAUUUGAAAUGUCCCAGGCUGCAUAAACUGAGCAUCUGCUGUGUGUUGCUCUCGUCCCAGUAAUUCUCAUCCUGUGGUCCCUGUAUGCUGUUAUUUUAGGUGUAUCCUUUACCAUUAUGUGGAUUGUUAACAUUACCCUGAAUUCUGCUGCUAUGUAGGUGGGACCAAGCACUGAGAUUUUCUUUCUUUUGAGUUGAGAAAGAAACUCUGGCUUGAAAACACUGACAAGUUACUGGGUGGUGAUUUGUAGCUUAAAGUUGGUGGCUAUAAAUUCUCACCUGUGAAAAGAGAACCUUGUAGCUCUGCACAAUAUGUUCUUCCAGCUGCGGUUGAAUUUCUGCACUGUUAAUAUCCUUAAGCAGCUGCAGCAAUGUGUCACACUGAUCUGGCAUUUUCCAUACCCAAAGCUCUGCUUAAAUAUUUGAACUUAGUAAGGCACUCCACUGAGCUGAGUGGGAGGCCAGUGUCGCUACAGCUUUAUAGAAAAAGAAACAGCACCUGGGAGGUUAAAGCAACUUUCCCUCACCAUGCAGCAAGUCAAUGGUAGAGCUGGAAUUACAGCUCUGGAGGUUCCUGGCUCGUGCUACACCAGGCUGUGGAGAAAGGUCAUUUCCCAAAAUAGUGCAAGUUUGUUAUUAUAAUAGGGCAACAAAGGGCUCUAGAUGUAUUAAUAGGUGACUGUGUGCCAAUCUUAGUAAUACAUAAUUUAGCAACCUUGCAAAAUGUGCUACAUCAUAUUUUAUCUGCAGCAGGAUCACUUUCACAGUUAGUUUUGUCUGCUUUACUCUGGAUAGGUACUUUUGUCUUGGCUCUUCUAACAGUUUUAUUUAAAGUAAAUAGGGACAUUUACUAAGUAGGCAUAAAAAGCCUCCUGAUUAGCAGCCACAUUAAACUGCAAUAUCCAGCUCACCUUUCAGGUCAGCACAGCUCCUGUGCCCCUUGGAAGCCACUGAGCACAGCUCUGUCUGCCUGAGGAGAACAGAGAGGUGACAGGGGAUUUUGGUGGCAGUCAUACCUGGCAGUGCAGGAGCUGGGGUUCAAUGAUGGGAGCCCACAGGGCUGCCAGGUUUGCUGAUGGCCUUAGGCCUCCCAGGGAGGCAGGCAAACCCAUCCCCACCCAGUGGGACAGGGUAGAGGGUGCUGAUACUUGUGAAUUGGUUUUCACUGAGAUUUGGUCCCAGCUGUACCUCAAAAGACCUUGGAGAUGGGGUAUUUGGUAGCAGUUGUUGGAUCUUGUAGAUUUCUACUUCAUACUUUUAUAAAAUGCUGUUGAUCCCCUUGAACUUGUGUACGUAAGCAAUGUACUUACUAAAGGAUUUUGUUUCUUCUCAGAAUGAAUUAUUUGACCUGCUAGGUUAUUCAGCAAAUUCAAAAGUGCUAUGUAGGAAACAAGUUUAUUUUUUCACCUGGAUCUAUGCAAUUGAAAGAAGAACAAAAUGGUAUUUUGCCUUAGCCAAGUCUGAAGAAUUCCAGUGAAUAAUGAUGGGAAGAAUGACAAUGCAAAUAGGUAUUGAAUCAAUUUAUUCGGUUUCAUUAGGGUUUGAGUUUGGGUGAAGAGUCUCCAAACAGGGAAACAUCAGGAAAAGAAAUGCGGAAGCCAAAAUGUGUAAGGAAAGUUAAGCAGAGCACGUGCAGCAUCCAUAGAUGGCAAGGGUGCUGUUCUCUCCUCUUCAUGUCUGUAGAUACAUGUAUUUGAAUUAACAGAGCAAUGUGAGCUUUAAGUGCUGCAUGUGCCUUUUAAUGCUUGUUGGUUGAAGUAAUUAGAUCUAUUGUGGGCAUUGGGAAUGGCAGCUUGGCUGUUAAGGUCACUGACUUGUGAACAUGACCUUCUGGAGGUCAAAGCACUGGAGAGCUUGCUGUGUUUCAUUCUCAGAGGUACCAGCCAUAAUAGUCACUGCUUUGAAAAAGCAGUGUCAAUGUUCCCUGCCUUUAUCUAUUUUGUUGUUUGUGCUGAAUUGUGAUGUGUUUUGUUUUGUUCUUGUUUUACUAAUUCAUCUCUUAAACUAUCUUUUGGUGGAUUCAGAGUUUUUGAAGUUUGGUUACCUUUUUUUUUUUCCCUAUGUGUGUUUUGAUUUGGUUUUUUGAACAAUAGUUGAGUUUUCACAACUGAAAUUGAUUGAUCAGAGAUUGAAUUGUAAAUCUUAGUGGUUUUGAGUGAUGUUUGGUACUUGAUUUGGCAUCCUGCUUUCAUUCCUGCAGAUGAUGAAGUCAGCCAGAUGUACUCUCUCAGAUGUACCCUUUCUGAGAGAGAUGAAAACCCCUUCUUGUGAUUGAGGCCAAAUGAUUCAUGGCAAAUGCUAAAGGAUACAUAAUUUCAGCCUUGACUACAUCUGCCUUCCCUGCUAGGGAACUCAAGAGAGGCCCGAGUAAAACAUCCUAUAAAAAAAGAGACAAAAGAUCUCUCUAGAGUGUCGCAGUUCAUGUUCGUGGUCUGGAGUCUGGAGCAUGCUUGAGUUCUUGUGGUAGAAAGGGAGGUUUGUAUUUUCUGGCAUCAAAUGGUUUUGUGGUUCUUCACAGUGUGAAUCCUUUCCAGGAGCUCAGAGUGUUGCUCUCAGUCCUCAACUUUCCCCGCACAAACCUGUCAAAACACACAAGACUAAAGCACCAAGCGUGGCAUGGAACAGCCCAUGGAUUUUGUGGCAUCUGGAUUGGCUGGACCUAGAGCAAAGCAAUCAUGGUGCUGGUGAUUAGAUUGCCUACUGUAAAAUUCCUGGAUGGUUGAGAUGGGGACAGUUGUGCUUUCUCAGAGCCUCUUUAAUUCUCCCUAAAAACUCACCAGACUAUAACUAUCAUGUUACCCCUAUCAAAGAUUCUGUUUUAGGUGAUUCGAAUAUGUUUUUUCCCCAGUCUUUAGCCUUCUUGCAUCACACUGCUCCUUAAAAAUGCUCACAUUACCAGCUGAAAUUUGCAUCUGCUAUAGGAAUUCUGUUUGGGACUGUGGGUGGGCUUACUCUGUCUAGGUAGCGGUGUUGUUUUAUUGGAGUUAGGAGAGUUUAAACCUCCUCAAAACUGAACUGCUUACAAUGGAUUUGAGUAUUUUUAUGUCUUGCUAGAGAGCCUUAGUUUUUUUUUUUUUUUUUUUGUGCUGCUCUGUGGCUUGAUCGGGGCAAGCAGCACGUUGUAUAUCUGCCUGCUCUUGUUUGGAAUUGAUGCUGUGCCCUGGGUGUUGUGCACAGAUUUACAGCUGAGGUAAAAAGAACAACCACUUGUUACCAUCUUUUUUUUCCCCCUCUCCUCAAUGUGUCAAACUGCUCCAUGGUCCCAUGGUCCUUCAGAAGCGUAUUGGGCUACUCGGAACCAGGGGAAAAAAAAAUUGUGAGCAGAGUCCUAAAUCAGAUGUCUCAGGUCUCAUUUCCUUCAGGGUUCUGCAUUUCUGAGUCUUUUUGGCAAGGGUUUUUUCACUGCUUUGCAACAGGCAAGAGCUACUGAGGAUAUAAAAUGUUUCGUUGCUGGAGAAGAAACAGGACUGGGAAAGUAAGGAGUUGCAAUUGUUGUGUAAAUAGCUUUAAGGGAAUAACUUUUUUGAAGAGGCCUGUUUGUGAUUAAGUAGUUCAAGGCAUUCUCUUAGUCAGGAAACCUGUUUUCUGUAGCCCAAACAGAUUAAAAUCUACCUGGAUCAUCUCACAAACACCUUUUUUUUUUUUUUUCCCUGGAUAUCUUUUGUUUAUGUGGUAUGGCCUUGCUAUAACUAUCCAUUUCUCAAAGCUUUCUUCUGCGCACGCUCACGCUUUUAGAUUUUUAUGAAGGUGUAUUUGUAUAAUUCACACAAUAAAUUGUAUUGUGUAUUGUUCUCCUUUUCCUUAUUUCUCCCUGUAGAUGGAAAGCUGCUCGAGCUGGGUUGAAAUCCAUGCUACCUUUAGUUACUAAGGGCAAAGUCCUGCUUUUGCAAAGCACUUCUCUCUCAUUUCUUUCUACUCUGUAUCUUUGCAUCUCUGUCUUGUGAGUUGUUUAGCAAAGGCUGGCAGACUCCUUUCUAGCCUGACAGGUCAAUGCUGGCAGGGGCACCUCACAGGUGCAGCCCUCUUCACCACUGCUAGAUGAGGGAAAAUGCAUUUUUCAUCUGGAGUUAGAAAAUUAUCCACACUAUAGUCCCUUGCUCAAAAUCCAGGCUGUUUCUCUUCAAGAGAUGCUGAAAUUGUAUCGUGCAUCUGACUGGCUGAUGCCACAGUAUGGAGCCUUUAUUUAUAGAUGUGUAUAAAUAAAAUCAAUCUUCCUCUACAAACUGUCAAAUUGUAUUUCCCAAAAGCUGAGGAGUCUGCAGUUCAUUAAAGCUGGAGAUAAUGAAUGACCCCAACUCUCUAGAAAGAGCAGCUUUUGUUCAGAAAGACUGGUUUGUUUUUAUCUGGCUGCUGACAUGAGUUGUCUACAGUUUUUUUUUCUGCAAAAAAUGAAAAUAUUGUUUUUGAUGUGUCAAAAAAGUUACUGCAGGAUGGUAUGUAGUGUAAUUAUGUUAAUUUGUGUUAUGAAUUAAAGAGAUCCUGAAUAGUUGAAGGUGUAUGUGGUGAUAUGAGCACAGACAAACCAAGAUGUGCAGGCAGGGGAUGAAGAAGGGGAAUUACUUAAAGAAGGUGUUCAUCUUCUGACAUUCUUUGUUCAAGGGAGGGAGUAGAUCAUUGGUGGCAGGUGCCCUGAGCACUUGGUAUGGCAAGCUGCUGUUCACCUUUUCGGGAUGUGGGUUUGAAUUACAUUGUUCUGUUUCAUCAUUAUCAGGAAAAAAGAACCACAUUUGGAACUGAAGUACCUCAGGGUUAACCCCCAUGCCUUAUAAAUUAAGAAAAAAAAAAACAAUUGCUUGUCUUCAUGGCCAGCCUAUGAGACAUGGAGGAUGUAUUAUCCAUUUCCUAGUUAAACUGCAUUAAUCUGUUUUCUGAUUCCUCUCAUGUCCAAAAAAACCUGCAGGCCUAUCAGGGCACAGCCAUAUUGAUCUUGCUGGUGAGAAAGGGUUGGUUUCAGGACCCUCCAACAGGUCUUGAUUAGAGUCUGGAUCUCCUGCCUCUCCAUUCCUGGAGAGUUUUAUUGCCAGUCUCAGCUCCUCCCUGUAAUGAGCUGAAGACUGGAUAGAGUCUGGCACAUUCUUAAUUGUCCAUUAGCAAGAGAAACUGUGCUAAUUGCCAAGAACCCCCCAAGACCUGUAGGGCUGGGCAGAUGGGUGGUGUGAGGACAGGCUGCUGUCCUCUCUGUCCUCUGCCCAGGGUCCCAGAUUGCCUGCUGGAGUCGAAGAGGGUGAGACUUUUCCCCUGCACUUAGCAGCAGUCUCUGUCUGUGGCUGGAAGGUUUCCCUGUGUUCUCUCACCUUGCUGGGAGACCUUUCAAAGAUCUUUGGAAGAGGUGGGAGGGUAUCUUUCCUUGAGGGUAGCUUUCUUUGCUGGCUUUCCCCUUCAUAGCCAGGAGGGACAGGGUAAACAAGGAUACCGUCAGAAUUCAGGUUGAAUGCAUCCUUGGGAUGGUGUAAGAUGUCAGAUUUCACUUGGCUUGACUGACAAUAUUAAUUGUGUUCCUGGGUAAGCUUUUUUUUCUUUUUUUGUUAGCAGGAAAAGAGUCUUCAGAAAGUCCCUUUCAGAAAUCUUGUGAUGAGAUGAUGCGAGGAACUUUUCAGUUUUACAUUGGAAGCAAGAUAAUUGAUUUGAGUUUGCUAUGACACUGCAACUUGUUACAAUAAGCAGUCUGCCCUCUGCAAGAGCAGAGCAAGAGGAGAGCAGGUCUGUGCACUUCUGCUGGGGUGGAAAUUCUCUGGCUUUCGGUGUUUGCACAGUGAAUUCAAUGUCAACAUACAUACAGACAGCAGAUCUCAGAGGAGUCAGAGGCACAUUCCCAGAAGAGUUACAAUCCAAGGUUUACACUUCCAGUGAAAUGUUGUCUGAGAAGUGCUGGAAAAAGAAAGGUAAGUGAUAGAAACUAGAGAUUUGAAAAGUAAAGUAGAGCAGAACUAAAGGCAAACAGAAGAGGAAUUUCUACUACAGAAAUUUGAAGUUUUUAAAAAUUAAUUAUAGCCUAAACUGGAAAUAAAACUGGGGGGUGCUAACUUUUUUUUUUAGAGUUGUGCCAUAUGUUGAUUUUAUUAUCAUGAUUAAGGUGUAGGGAAAGAGAACAAUUAUGAAGAAAACCAAAA
Taeniopygia guttata (zebra finch) is the source of this 7566-nucleotide non-coding RNA. The record is from RefSeq and is a predicted model, not a curated record. NCBI's taxonomy places the organism in Eukaryota, Metazoa, Chordata, Aves, Passeriformes, Estrildidae.